This 84-nucleotide transfer RNA is filed under the name Planctomycetota bacterium. RNAcentral's name for it is "Planctomycetes bacterium (soil metagenome) tRNA-Leu". It matches the Rfam family "tRNA". Rfam says of the family: Transfer RNA (tRNA) molecules are approximately 80 nucleotides in length. Lineage: Bacteria; Pseudomonadati; Planctomycetota. The record is from RNAcentral.
GGCUCAGUGGCGGAACUGGCAGACGCAGCGGAUUCAAAAUCCGCCGAUCGCAAGAUCUUGUGGGUUCGAGUCCCACCUGGGCUA